UCACUAAUCGUCUGUAACGCUUCAAAUCUUAAGCCAAGACGAGGAACCCCCAAAUUUCCCUGAAUUUGUUGAUUGCCACUGAUAGAAAACAUUAUGCUGGGUACUCCAUGUAUAAUCUAUUCAACAAUUCGACACCUGAUUGGUUUCGCAGCUCUUAUAUUCGAGCUAGAUGAUGAAUUAAAGUUGAAGAAUAUGAUUGAUAUUUCAGACGUUUUACCUUGGAAGAAGGAAACCCAAGUUGAGUUUUUGGUUUAAGACAUGAAGAAGGAAACCCGGAUUGAAUUCUUAUGCAACAAUCUGUACUCUUAAGAGAUAUUCUCAGGAAUGAAAAAUUUGAGAUGACAGUUAUAUCAACUGGAGAGUAUUUUGAACUGUCUGCAUCAUAGCAAUGACCAGAAACAAAUAGUGUUGGAUUGUUUGAGUUACACCUUUAGUAAUCAUGGUGGAUAGUUUGGGUUCUGCUACAUAUAAGGUCACUGAUAUGCUGGAUAAAAGUGUAAUGUAGUAUCAGAAGCAGAGUUGUGGGCAUCUUGAAUCAACCAGAGAUUCCCUUGCAAGCAAUUAUUUGAUAGUAUUAAGUAUUGGAUAAGGUUGGCUAAGUUCUUAUUGUAGCUUUGAUUGGCAGUGGAGCCUCCCCUACUACACUCCGUUGAAAUCCUAGGCUAAUUUGCAAGCUCGACAUUUAGAAACAAAACAUAUGGAGAAUCUAAUAGGGAAGAUAUUCUUUUCUUAAUUUCUCCCAUUUGGUUUUGAUUGAAUCAGUGUAUCCUUAGUCUGCAACAUUUCACUCAGAAUUUUCGGUGUUACUCCUCGGCCCUACUUACUAUGUAGUCUAUUGAUAUGGCUCAAUUGUUUAUCUUUUAUAGUUUGAAUUAAUUGUGAAUAUACUACAUUAUGCAGAAAUUUGGAUAGCAGUGGAGUUGUGUUGGGUGAUCUUGGGUUUGGACGGUAAGAAUUCAAAAAGUGGACUGGAAUCAUGGCUGUUAUAAUGGUUUGAAACUUCUCACAAUGUUGAAAAACAUCAAAUUGAAGUUCGUUAAUUUCGAGGUCAACAAAAAAACUGAAAAAAGGUUAGUUUUGUUUCCUUCAAAAGGAUUGUCAAGACGAUGACAAUCAUUCGCCAACGUGUGUAGAUGCUGAAGUAUAUUCAAUUUACUUUGUUUGCGAUGGGAGUAAAAGGAUGAUUCGUCUAUGCUCAAACGUAGGACUGAACUUUACAGAGAAGAAUCAGAAGAAUCAACUUGCUUUUGUAGUUAUGGCCAUAAACCAAGUCGUAUACACCCACAACCUGAUACAAGAUAUACGUAUUGAGACAUAACCUAUAAAGCUCGAACAUGGAUCACUGUGUAGCUCGAGGUAGUUUGAUGUUAGUUUUUUGUUCUUUAUUUAUGCAGGCUCUUUAAUAUCUUUAUCAUAUGUUGGUAUCCUCGGGUUAAUCUUAUUUUGACUGCCAAAUUCAUGCCCAAAUCUGCUGGGCUAUGUUAUGCGUAAUAGAGACCGUUUUUGCAAUAGAAGAAGGUUGUCGUUAGUGAACGGUAUUGACCGCAACUAUAUUUUCACCUGUUUGUCAAUUUACUUUUGU
Molecule: long non-coding RNA, 1582 nt
Organism: Papaver somniferum (opium poppy)
Lineage: Eukaryota; Viridiplantae; Streptophyta; Magnoliopsida; Ranunculales; Papaveraceae
Exons: 9
Source: RefSeq, a predicted model, not a curated record